UGAGGAAUAUUGGUCAAUGGCCGUAAGGCUGAACCAGCCAAGUCGCGUGAGGGAGGACGGCCCUACGGGUUGUAAACCUCUUUUGUCAGGGAGCAAGGGACAGGUCGUGACCUGUUGUGAGAGUACCUGAAGAAAAAGCAUCGGCUAACUCCGUGCCAGCAGCCGCGGUAAUACGGAGGAUGCGAGCGUUAUCCGGAUUUAUUGGGUUUAAAGGGUGCGCAGGCGGAGGCACAAGUCAGCGGUAAAAUCGCGGGGCUCAACCCCGCUCCGCCGUUGAAACUGUGUCCCUUGAGUGCGCGAAGG
Molecule: ribosomal RNA, 303 nt
Filed under: uncultured bacterium
Lineage: Bacteria
Description: bacterial SSU rRNA
Rfam family: Bacterial small subunit ribosomal RNA
Source: RNAcentral